AUUGAACGCUGGCGGCAGGCCUAACCCAUGCAAGUCGAAAGCGUGGCGGACGGGUGAGUAAUGUCUGGGAAACUGCCUGAUGGAGGGGUAAAACUACUGGAAACGGUCGCUAAAACCGCAUACCGUCGGCUGUGCCCAGAUGGGAGUGGCUAGUAGGUGGGGUAAAGGGUCACCUAGGCGACGUUCCCUAGAUGGUCUGAGAGGAUGACCAGCCAGACUGUAACCUAGACACGGUCCAGACUCCUACGGGAGUCAGCAGUGGGGAAUAUUGCACAAUGGGCGCAAGCCUGAUGCAGCCAUGCCGCGUGUAUGAAGAAGGCCUUCGGGUUGUAAAGUACUUUCAGCGGGGAGGCGUUACCCGCAGAAGAAGCACCGGCUAACUCCGUGCCAGCAGCCGCGGUAAUUC
Molecule: ribosomal RNA, 406 nt
Filed under: uncultured bacterium
Lineage: Bacteria
Description: partial 16S ribosomal RNA
Rfam family: Bacterial small subunit ribosomal RNA
Source: RNAcentral